RNAcentral lists this ribosomal RNA (1434 nucleotides) under Klebsiella pneumoniae. RNAcentral describes it as "bacterial LSU rRNA". It matches the Rfam family "Bacterial large subunit ribosomal RNA", at positions 636 to 2055 of the family's 2925-position model. The record is from RNAcentral. Lineage: Bacteria; Pseudomonadati; Pseudomonadota; Gammaproteobacteria; Enterobacterales; Enterobacteriaceae.
UGUAGCAAGGUUAACCGUAUAGGGGAGCCGCAGGGAAACCGAGUCUUAACUGGGCGUUAAGUUGCAGGGUAUAGACCCGAAACCCGGUGAUCUAGCCAUGGGCAGGUUGAAGGUUGGGUAACACUAACUGGAGGACCGAACCGACUAAUGUUGAAAAAUUAGCGGAUGACUUGUGGCUGGGGGUGAAAGGCCAAUCAAACCGGGAGAUAGCUGGUUCUCCCCGAAAGCUAUUUAGGUAGCGCCUCGUGAACUCAUCUUCGGGGGUAGAGCACUGUUUCGGCUAGGGGGUCAUCCCGACUUACCAACCCGAUGCAAACUACGAAUACCGAAGAAUGUUAUCACGGGAGACACACGGCGGGUGCUAACGUCCGUCGUGAAGAGGGAAACAACCCAGACCGCCAGCUAAGGUCCCAAAGUCAUGGUUAAGUGGGAAACGAUGUGGGAAGGCACAGACAGCCAGGAUGUUGGCUUAGAAGCAGCCAUCAUUUAAAGAAAGCGUAAUAGCUCACUGGUCGAGUCGGCCUGCGCGGAAGAUGUAACGGGGCUAAACCAUGCACCGAAGCUGCGGCAGCGACACUAUGUGUUGUUGGGUAGGGGAGCGUUCUGUAAGCCUGCGAAGGUGACCUGUGAGGGUUGCUGGAGGUAUCAGAAGUGCGAAUGCUGACAUAAGUAACGAUAAAGCGGGUGAAAAGCCCGCUCGCCGGAAGACCAAGGGUUCCUGUCCAACGUUAAUCGGGGCAGGGUGAGUCGACCCCUAAGGCGAGGCCGAAAGGCGUAGUCGAUGGGAAACAGGUUAAUAUUCCUGUACUUGGUGUUACUGCGAAGGGGGGACGGAGAAGGCUAUGUUAGCCGGGCGACGGUUGUCCCGGUUUAAGCAUGUAGGCUGGUUGUCCAGGCAAAUCCGGAUAAUCAAGGCUGAGGUGUGAUGACGAGGCACUACGGUGCUGAAGUAACAAAUGCCCUGCUUCCAGGAAAAGCCUCUAAGCAUCAGGUAACAUCAAAUCGUACCCCAAACCGACACAGGUGGUCAGGUAGAGAAUACCAAGGCGCUUGAGAGAACUCGGGUGAAGGAACUAGGCAAAAUGGUGCCGUAACUUCGGGAGAAGGCACGCUGGUGUGUAGGUGAAGUCCCUGCGGAUGGAGCUGAGACCAGUCGAAGAUACCAGCUGGCUGCAACUGUUUAUUAAAAACACAGCACUGUGCAAACACGAAAGUGGACGUAUACGGUGUGACGCCUGCCCGGUGCCGGAAGGUUAAUUGAUGGGGUUAUCCGUAAGGAGAAGCUCUUGAUCGAAGCCCCGGUAAACGGCGGCCGUAACUAUAACGGUCCUAAGGUAGCGAAAUUCCUUGUCGGGUAAGUUCCGACCUGCACGAAUGGCGUAAUGAUGGCCGGGCUGUCUCCACCCGAGCCUCAGUGAAAUUGAACUCGCUGUG